Molecule: ribosomal RNA, 254 nt
Filed under: uncultured bacterium
Lineage: Bacteria
Description: partial 16S ribosomal RNA
Rfam family: Bacterial small subunit ribosomal RNA
Source: RNAcentral
UACGGGGGGAGCAAGCGUUGUUCGGAUUUACUGGGCGUAAAGGGCGCGUAGGCGGUCAGCACAAGUCAGUUGUGAAAUCUCCGGGCUUAACUCGGAAAGGUCAACUGAUACUGUGCGACUAGAGUGCAGAAGGGGCAACUGGAAUUCUCGGUGUAGCGGUGAAAUGCGUAGAUAUCGAGAGGAACACCUGCGGCGAAGGCGGCGAUCUGGGUAGAUACUGACGCUGAGGUGCGAAAGCGUGGGGAGCAAACAGG